RNAcentral lists this ribosomal RNA (445 nucleotides) under uncultured bacterium. Its description in RNAcentral is "bacterial SSU rRNA". It matches the Rfam family "Bacterial small subunit ribosomal RNA", at positions 227 to 695 of the family's 1533-position model. The record is from RNAcentral.
GGGCUCGCGUGCCAUUAGCUUGUUGGUGGGGUAAUGGCCUACCAAGGCAACGAUGGCUAGCUGGUCUGAGAGGAUGGCCAGCCACACUGGAACUGAAACACGGUCCAGACUCCUACGGGAGGCAGCAGUGAGGAAUUUUGCGCAAUGGGGGAAACCUUGACGCAACAACGCCGCGUGAGUGAAGAAGGCCUUCGGGUCGUAAAGCUCUGUCAAGUGGGAAAUGAUGGUACCACUGGAGGAAGCACCGGCUAACUCCGUGCCAGCAGCCGCGGUAAUACGGAGGGUGCAAGCGUUGUUCGGAAUUACUGGGCGUAAAGGGCGUGUAGGCGGUUUGGUAAGUCAGAUGUGAAAGCCCUGGGCUCAACCCGGGAAGUGCAUUUGAAACUGCCAUUCUUGAGUAUGGGGAGGAGAGUGGAAUUCCCAGUGUAGAGGUGAAAUUGUAGAU